GCGUCGGCAGCGCAAUUGGUUAGCACGCGAUCCUGGAGAGGGUGGAAUGCGGGUUCGAUUCCCGCUUGAUGUU
This is a non-coding RNA of Parelaphostrongylus tenuis, 73 nucleotides long. NCBI's taxonomy places the organism in Eukaryota, Metazoa, Nematoda, Chromadorea, Rhabditida, Metastrongylidae. The record is from the annotation of a GenBank genome assembly.